AAUCAACGCUGGCGGCGUGCCUAACACAUGCAAGUCGAACGCGAAAGCCCCUUCGGGGGCAAGUAGAGUGGCGUCCGGGUGAGUAACACGUGGGUAAUCUACCUCCGGGUGGGGAAUAACUCGCCGAAAGGCGGGCUAAUACCGCAUAAUGCAGCGGCACCGAAUGGUGAUUAGUUGUUAAAGCGGGGGACCUUAGGGCCUCGCGUCUGGAGAGGAGCCUGCGGCAGAUUAGCUUGUUGGAGGGUAAUGGCCUACCAAGGCUGCGAUCUGUAGCUGGUCUGAGAGGACGGCCAGCCACACUGGCACUGACACACGGGCCAGACUCCUACGGGAGGCAGCAGUGGGGAAUUUUGGGCAAUGGGCGAAAGCCUGACCCAGCAACGCCGCGUGAAGGAGGAAAUCCUUCGGGAUGUAAACUUCACAAGCAAGGGAAGAGCGCGCAGGGUCGAAUAAACUCUGCGUCCGACGGUACCUUGCGUAAGCCACGGCUAACUACGUGCCAGCAGCC
RNAcentral lists this ribosomal RNA (508 nucleotides) under uncultured bacterium. RNAcentral describes it as "bacterial SSU rRNA". It matches the Rfam family "Bacterial small subunit ribosomal RNA", at positions 32 to 516 of the family's 1533-position model. The record is from RNAcentral.